RNAcentral lists this signal recognition particle RNA (267 nucleotides) under Caldifarciminota bacterium. RNAcentral describes it as "candidate division WOR-3 bacterium (hot springs metagenome) signal recognition particle sRNA large type". It matches the Rfam family "Bacterial large signal recognition particle RNA". From Rfam's summary of the family: The signal recognition particle (SRP) is a universally conserved ribonucleoprotein involved in the co-translational targeting of proteins to membranes. Archaeal SRP consists of a 7S RNA and homologues of the eukaryotic SRP19 and SRP54 proteins. Lineage: Bacteria; Pseudomonadati; Caldifarciminota. The record is from RNAcentral.
UCGUGCUAUGCGGGGGGCUGGCGGUCCCCUGUGACCCGAAAUCCGCCAAUGCGGGGCAGAGAGGAACCCUGAGUUCGGUGUGGUGCGAGUUCAGUCGGAAAUGUGCAUUGACGAUGAAGGUCGGGUCCGGUGAGGAUGGUCACCGUGAACCCCGCCAGGACCGGAAGGUAGCAACGGUAAACGGAGCGACCGUCAGUCAUCGGGGCACCUGGCUGGAGUUAAUGCCUUUCCGACCCUCUCACCAACUGCGCGAAGGUUCCGGCACGA